This 269-nucleotide ribosomal RNA is filed under the name uncultured bacterium. Its description in RNAcentral is "partial 16S ribosomal RNA". It matches the Rfam family "Bacterial small subunit ribosomal RNA", at positions 15 to 263 of the family's 1533-position model. The record is from RNAcentral.
GAUCCUGGCUCAGGAUGAACGCUAGCUACAGGCUUAACACAUGCAAGUCGAGGGGCAUCAGGAAGAAAGCUUGCUUUCUUUGCUGGCGACCGGCGCACGGGUGAGUAACACGUAUCCAACCUACCCUUUACUCGGGGAUAGCCUUUCGAAAGAAAGAUUAAUACCCGACUGGCGAUAAUAGAUUCCGCCAUGGUUUCUAUUAUUAAAGGAAGUUCCGGUAAACGGGUAAGUGGGGAGUGCGUUCCAUUAGGUUGUUGGUGAGGUAACGG